AUGUACUCAUGCCAUCUUCCUCACCCCACCGCCUUCUGGCUACAGGAGAGUUCAUGACAUCCCUUCUUACCUUAAGAAAAAGCCUGUGUUUCUGAAGGUCGGAGUUGGGUUUGCCUCCAGCUCCUGGCUCUCUUCCUUGAAGGAAGUGGCGGUCAAUAAACUCUCACUACUGGAUGGGUCUUUGCUAGUUACUGGAUUCAGGGACCAACAGGACUGAAGAUACUCAUGGUCUUCAAGGAGCUGAUGGUCUAUAAGGAAAAGGACACUACAACCUCUUAACUGGCCUUGAACUUCCAGAGAUCUGAGAGGAGGAUUAAAGGCAAGCCCAGGAUGCCCAGAGAAGCCAGUUGAGAGACAUGCCAUGCUUCCUACAAGAUCAUACGGGACAGACCAUGUGAUGACCAAAGACACAAACAGCACUUAGACUACAGAACCAGAAAAUGCUUCUGCGCCAUAAGGACACACUAUCUGGUGCCCAGGAGACAGCUCAGGCAGAGAAAAGGGAGCUGGAAGCAGACAGCGAGGACAAGGGACCCAUAAGAGGUCUUCAACAACUGCCAGACUUCACUUUUGCCUAGAGAAGUCAGCUCACCCAUCAGAAAUCUACAAACCCUGGGUGUAGCUGCUCAACACUGUCGGCAUGCUCAUCACACUGGACAGAAGGCUCUGCCAUGGAAUAGCAUCUGCCUACCCAAAUAUACAUCUACACUCACAUACAAACAACACAAUUCCAGAUGUCAAGACAGAGUCUGGCGAUCUAGAACGUUCUGUAGAGAGCAGGCUGGCCAGAGACUGGCAGAUUCACCAGCCUCUCCCCCGUGAGUGCUGAGAUUAAAGGCAUGCACCACACCCAACAGGCAGUGAAGUUCCCAAACAGAAACAAUGACCUGAGCAUAACAAGGCUGCUCCAGGACAAACUACAGUGCAUUCUCCCAGCUCCCACGGAUGGAACACAUGAGGCCCUCUGAAUGUGGCUCCUUAUAGCUGAUCUUAAGGGCUUAGACAAACUUUUAAAGCAUCUACAUUAAUUCUAACAAAACUGUAAAUAGUGAAGAUUAAUCAGUUGAAUGAAUUUCCUUACUGAGAAGCAAACUGAAACGAGUAUGAUGGGACCAACACCCUCUAUGUAACACAAAGCACAGACCUUCACAUACUGUCCCACAAAAUGUGUCACUUCUUCUGUGAAGCAGCCUGAAGCAUCCACAGGGCAAACAGGGGUCGAGU
This is a long non-coding RNA of Mesocricetus auratus (golden hamster), 1224 nucleotides long. RefSeq lists it as uncharacterized. Lineage: Eukaryota; Metazoa; Chordata; Mammalia; Rodentia; Cricetidae. The transcript has 7 exons. The record is from RefSeq and is a predicted model, not a curated record.